Molecule: ribosomal RNA, 254 nt
Filed under: uncultured bacterium
Lineage: Bacteria
Description: partial 16S ribosomal RNA
Rfam family: Bacterial small subunit ribosomal RNA
Source: RNAcentral
UACGGGGGGGGCAAGCGUUGUUCGGAAUUACUGGGCGUAAAGGGCUCGUAGGCGGCCAACUCAGUCGGACGUGAAAUCCCUCGGCUUAACCGGGGAACUGCGUCUGAUACUGGAUGGCUUGAGUUUGGGAGAGGGAUGCGGAAUUCCAGGUGUAGCGGUGAAAUGCGUAGAUAUCUGGAGGAACACCGGUGGCGAAGGCGGCAUCCUGGACCAACACUGACGCUGAGUGAGCGAAAGCCAGGGGAGCAAACGGG